Molecule: ribosomal RNA, 415 nt
Filed under: Crassostrea sp. SL-2003
Lineage: Eukaryota; Metazoa; Mollusca; Bivalvia; Ostreida; Ostreidae
Description: partial 16S ribosomal RNA
Rfam family: Bacterial large subunit ribosomal RNA
Source: RNAcentral
GAGGGUGCUAAGGUAGCGAAAUUCCUUGCCUUUUGAUUGUAGGCCUGCAUGAAUGGUUUAACGAGGGUUUAACUGUCUCUAAAUUUUUUAUUGAAAUUGUACUGAAGGUGAAGAUACCUUCAUUUAAAAGUUAGACAAAAAGUCCCCGUGCAACUUUGAAAAUUAACUUUAUUCAGAAGUAAAAGAUUUUUAGGUGGGGCGCCUAGAAAGUAAGUCUAACCUUUCUGAAUAAUUAGUUCUUUCCGGAUUCGACCCGAUUAUAUUCGAUCAUAGGAGAAGUUACGCCGGGGAUAACAGGCUAAUCCUUUAGUAGAGCUCGUAUUGGCUAAAGGGAUUGGCACCUCGAUGUUGAAUCAGGGAUGAUAGCUUCAAGGCGUAGAGGCUUUGAGAGUAGGUCUGUUCGACCUUUAAUACC